This 253-nucleotide ribosomal RNA is filed under the name uncultured bacterium. RNAcentral's name for it is "partial 16S ribosomal RNA". It matches the Rfam family "Bacterial small subunit ribosomal RNA", at positions 524 to 776 of the family's 1533-position model. The record is from RNAcentral.
GACGGAGGAGGCAAGCGUUAUCCGGAAUUAUUGGGCGUAAAGGGUACUUAGGCGGCUGGUCAAGUCUGGGGUCAAAGGCCACAGCUCAACUGUGGGAAGGCCCUGGAAACUGACCGGCUAGAGUGAGGUAGGGGUUGUGGGAAUUCCCGGUGUAGCGGUGAAAUGCGUAGAGAUCGGGAAGAACACCUGAGGCGGAAGCGCGCAACUGGGCCUCAAAUGACGCUGAGGUACGAAAGCUAGGGGAGCGAAUGGG